RNAcentral lists this ribosomal RNA (255 nucleotides) under uncultured bacterium. RNAcentral describes it as "partial 16S ribosomal RNA". It matches the Rfam family "Bacterial small subunit ribosomal RNA", at positions 524 to 776 of the family's 1533-position model. The record is from RNAcentral.
UACGGAGGAUGCAAGCGUUAUCCGGAAUGAUUGGGCGUAAAGCGUCCGCAGGUGGCGAUGUAAGUCUGCUGUUAAAGAGUGAGGCUCAACCUCAUAAGAGCAGUGGAAACUACAUAGCUAGAGUACGUUCGGGGCAGAGGGAAUUCCUGGUGUAGCGGUGAAAUGCGUAGAGAUCAGGAAGAACACCAGUGGCGAAGGCGCUCUGCUAGGCCGUAACUGACACUGAGGGACGAAAAGCUAGGGGGAGCGAAUGGG